GUUGGGAUCUCGGAGUUCAAUCAACAAUAAAUAUCAUUUAAUCAAAGAUUCCAAGGCAAAAAUGCAAGAAACAUAAACCGAAAAUACAACCCAUUAAUGGCCGAAAAUCUGGACAACAACUUCUCUUGUUUAUGGUUGAUUUUCAGGCUCAGGAAUAGCUCCCAUGUCAUGCAAAUCACCUUCCAAAGAGAGAGCUAGAAAACCGGCAAAGAACCUCCUUUGAAACUGCCACCACCGCACCCCUCUCUUCUACCAAGUUUUGAGAAACAUCACCUAUACUUAGCCACUAUUUCAGGCCUAAGUUAUCACAAGGGACACUCAAGAAGAAGCUCACAAGAAGGCACUCUCAAAAACACUCACAAUAAGGUGCAAAUGGAGAGAGAAGUCUUGAGGAGAAGAGAGAGGACCGAAUUUUAGAGAGAAAGACUUGUUUUGCCAAAAACGUGAGAAAGCCCUAUUUGGUGGAAAAUAGUCAAAACUUCUCACACAAGCUAAAGUAACAAAAAAUAUCUCACAUAGAAUAAAUCUCAGCCGUCGAUCCCAUCCAAUGGUCCACAAUAUAACUAGACAAGCACAAUCCAUGUGAAUGACAUAAAUAACACUUAAAUCUAAUGGAGUUAAGAGAACCAUAUUCUCACAUUCUUCACCUUGGUUCUCAUAACACUUUCUCUCGGUUGCGAAUUUGCACAUGGAAUAACUGUUCAUCAUCAUCACCCACUACCUUCAAGAAAAAUUAACCAGUGUCAAUAUAUAAUAAAGAUAAGCACAAUUUAAAUUUAACUGCAGGUAGAAUUUUUGUUCCCACAUCAGAGGAAUUUCUAUUAGUGUGAAUUUUAACAAGAUUAACUUCACCUUGAGACAGUUUCUCGCGAAUAAAAUGAUACUUCACCUCAAUAUGUUUAGUUCUUUCAUGAUAAACAGAAUUCUUACAAAGCGAUAAAGCACUUUGACUAUCAGUAAACAUAACAUGUGUAUCAUGUAUGAAGUUCAAUUCUUUUAAAAUUCCUUUUAACCAGGUACAUUCCUUAACCGCCUCGGUUAUGGCAACAUACUUUGCCUCAAUACUUGACAAAGUAACUAAAGGCUGCAACUGUGACUUCCAUGUUAUACAAUUGUCACCAAGUGUAAAAAAGUAAGUUGUGGUAGACUUUCUGUUAUCCUUGUCACGAGCAAAAUCAGAAUCUACAUAUCCCUUUAGAGUAAGUUUUUCAGAUCUUUUUUCAUACACUAGACCCAGAUUUAAUGUACCAACAAUGUACCUUAACAAUCAUUUCAAACCUGUCCAAUGGGGCUUUCCGGGUUGGACAUAAAUCUGCUCAAAAAACUUAUAGCAUAGGCUAAGUCAGGUUUGGUUGUUAUCAUAGAGAACAUAACGGAACCUAUAGCAUUAGAGUAGGGUAUGUUCCUCAUUUCUCUAAAUUCCUCCUCAGUUUUAGGAGAAUGUGCACUAGAAAGAUUCAUGUGAGCUGUUAAGGGAACGUUCACAGAUUUUGAUCCAUUCAUACCAAAUUUAGUUAUGACUUUGUUUAGAUAGGCUUCUUGGAAAACAACUAGUCUAUUUUCAGCUCUAUCUCUCUUCAUAACCAUCCCCAAAAUAUUUUUAGCACUCCCCAAAUCUUUCAUAUCGAAUUCUGAUUUUAAAAGGUUCUUCAUCUUAGUGAUUUCAGUCUUACUUGAACUUGCUAGAAGCAUGUCAUCUACAUAUAGCAACAAGUAGAUCUCACAGCCCUCCUUACUAUCAUUAUAGUAUAGGCAUGCAACAUAUUCACUCCUUUUAAAACCUAUCUUCAAUACAUAGGUAUCGAACCUUAUGUACCACUGUCUAGGGCUUUGUUUAAGCCCAUAGAGAGAUCUUUCUAAUUUGCACACACAGUUUAAUUUACCUUUCACCUCAAAACCUUGAGGCUGACUUAUAUAAAUAUCCUCUUCCAAUUCCCCAUGUAGGAAAGCAGUCUUGACAUCUAGUUGUUCCAGUUCCCAGUUGAACUGAACAACCAAUGCAAAAAUCAGUCUAAUUGUUUUGUACUUUAUCACAAGAGAGAAUAUCUCAUUAUAAUCAACCCCCUCUUUUUGAGUAUACCCCUUCGCCACUAAUGUGGCCUUAUACCUAGGAGGAUCACUAGGAUUAUUUCCUUCUUUCAAUUUGUAAAUCCACUUACAUUGAACUAUCCUAUGAUCCUUAGGUUUGUUAACCAACUUCCAAGUUUUAUUCUCCAUUAAAGAUUCCAUUUCUUCUUGCAUAGCUUUUAGCCAAUUUUCAGAACAUUUUCCAUUAACAGUUUCUUCAUAACUAGCAGGUUCUGUCUGUUCAAGGGCUUCACCUGAAACCAAGACAAAAUCAGUCAAGUUUAGGGAUUCAUAUCUAGGAUUUGGCUUGAUCUGCCUCCUCUCCCGAUCCCUAGUAAGCUAAUAAUCUUGAUUAGGUGGCUGAUCAUUAAAAUGUUCAACUUCAACUGGUUCAAUGUUAUCUUGAAGUUUAGUCACCUCUUCAGGUUCAGGUUCAAUUUCAAUUUCAUUUUCAUGAUGUAUAGGGUCAUUUUCAUCAUUCCCAGGUGUAGGUGAAUUUAGCCUAGUCAGCUUCACCUCAGUCUGAAUACUCUUCUCAGUUUCAGAUUUGUUAGUUUCUUCGAUUUUCUGUUUUAGACAUGGCAUCUCAGAUUCAUUAAAGACUACAUUGCUGCUGUUAAUAAUCUUAAUGCCUUGGACCCCUAAAACCCAUAACCUAUAGCCCUUCACACCCUCGGGAUACCCUAACAUCACACACUUGACAGCCCUCGGCUCAAGUUUCCCUUCAUAUUGGUGUGCAUAUGCAGCACAUCUAAGCACCCUCAAGUGUUCUAGAUUUGGAGGCUCUCCCGUCCACAACUCCUGUGGGGUCUUAAACCCUAUAUUGCUGGACGGAGACCUAUUAAUCAGAUAAGCUGCAGUACUUACAGCUUCAGCCCAAAAGCCUUUCGCAAGGCCAGAGCUAAUCAACAUACACCUAACUUUGUUCAUUAUGGUCCUGUUCAUUCUUUCAGCGACCCCAUUUUGUUCAGGUGUGUAUUUAACAGUUCUGUGUCUUGUUAUACCUUUAUGCUUACAGAAAUUGUCAAAUUCGCUAUUACAGAAUUCAAGCCCAUUAUCAGUUCUUAANNNNNNNNNNNNNNNNNNNNNNNNNNNNNNNNNNNNNNNNNNNNNNNNNNNNNNNNNNNNNNNNNNNNNNNNNNNNNNNNNNNNNNNNNNNNNNNNNNNNNNNNNNNNNNNNNNNNNNNNNNNNNNNNNNNNNNNNNNNNNNNNNNNNNNNNNNNNNNNNNNNNNNNNNNNNNNNNNNNNNNNNNNNNNNNNNNNNNNNNNNNNNNNNNNNNNNNNNNNNNCCUUUAAACCCAAUGUGACCCAUUCUAUUAUGCCAAAGUUUAGUUUUGUCUUUACUCACAAUAAGAAGGCUAGAAUCAACUGGUAUUUCAGUUCUACCCUCAAGAUAGUACAAUCCAUUCCUCUUAGGCCCUUUCAUAACUAUGAGAGAACCCUUCAUAAUUUUCAAAAUCUUGUUACCAGACUUGAAGGUAUAUCCCUCAUCUUCAAGAGAACCUAAGGAAAUGAGGUUCCUCUUUAAAUUAGGGACAUAUCUAACAUUUUUGAGCUGCGUGACGGCCCCAUCGUACAUUCUGAUAGCUAUGUCACCAACUCCAACCACAUUUUGAGAAUUAUUGUCUCCCAUGUAGACCUUCCUAGGUUCAGUCUCUCUAUAGUUAUAGAACUAAGACCUAUCAGGGCACAUAUGGAAAGUGCACCCUGUGUCUAGAAUUCAAUUUUUGUCAAAUUCUUUCUCAGACACAUUCAUGACAUGCAAACUAUCAAAUUCAGAAACAAUAGCAGCAUUAUCAACAUCAGAAUUGUUCGGAUCAUUUUGUUUCCUUUUCCAGUCGAAGCAGUCUUUCUUGAAAUGUCCUAACUUUUCACAGUGAUAACAUUUCUUACCGCUUUUAUCUUUAGAUUUGGAUCUCAUUUUAGAUUUUCCUCUCCCCUUCUUGUUAUGGAAGUUAAAUUCUUUCUUUUCAGGUCUUCCCCUAACAAAUAGACUCUCUUCUCGGGAAUGAGUUCUGUUGUCUCUUUUUAAUUCAAGUUCUCUUGAUUUUAAAGCAUCGAAAACAAUAGCUUGAGUGAGAGUGUCCCUACCAUAUUUUAUGGCAUUUUUCAUUUCUCUGUAAGAUUCGGGCAAAGAGUUUAGCAAUAUGACGGCUAAAUCCUCAUUGUCAAAUUUUUAUCAUUAUGAGCUAGACUCUUAACAAUUAUGCUAAACUCACUCAAACUUCCCUCCACAUCCUUCCCCGGGUCCAUCUUAAAACUAAACAACUUUUCCAAUAGGUAUAUUUUGUUAGGUAAAGUUUUAGUUAAGAACAAGGCAUCUAAAGCAAUCCACAAAGUUCUAGCAGUUUUAGCACUAUCAACUUGUCUUAAAAUGUUGUUAGAUAGAUGCAAAAUUAUAGAACUGUAAGCAAUUUCAUUCAUGUCUUCAAUUUCAGUUGGUUUAGCUUUCAACUCAUCAGAAAAUGUAGCAGGAUCAUCGAGAGCUUUCGCAACUCUCUGUUGGACCAAAAUGACCCUCAUUUUCUGUUUACAUAUCGAGUAAUCCCCCUUUCCAUUGAAUUGCGAUAAUUCGACCCUCGAACCUAUUAUAGAUUUUGUAAAAGAGUGGCCUAUACUCGUGGACAUAACAGAAAGGGUUUUGAAAAUUUCUUUUCCAGAUGAUCAAUAUAAAAAUAUGAAUGCCGAGUUAAAAACAAUUUUUAGAAAUGAAGCACAAUAAUGAAAUAAUCCGUUCACGAAACACAGGUAUAUAAUGCAGGUAAAUAUGCUUUCAGGUUACAAAUUAAUCACAAGAAUUCAAUCAACGGAAUUCACAAAUAGGCAACCAAGCAAUAAUCAUGCAUAAACCGAUAAGAAUAUCAAACCUAACCUAAUAGAAAGUUUGGAAUAAUCUUACCAGACUAUUGUUGAAAAACAGUAAAUAUACCAACAAGUUUCUAAACCGAAUCGCUGUAGACGUCAAGCUAGGGGCAAAAUCGUCCAACUUUUUAUGUAAAACCUGAAAUACUAAAAUAAACACAUUAAUACGUUCAGCAGGUUAAACUAAAAAAUCUGCCCGAAAAAAACCUCGUCGGAGAUCGCCCACGCGCCGCAGUCGAAAAAUUCAUGCGCCACUCCACCAGCACCUCCUCGAUCUGCAGAGCACGUCGGUGGUCUCAGAUUUUCCAAAUUCCUCCUAGUUUGGCGGGAAAUCGCGUUUGAAAGUCUGAUUUUCGCACAUAUUUUGGACAGCCUUUUUCUCCUGUUUUCUGCCUAUUUUUCUGGUCUAUUUUCUGCUGUUUUUAGCCUCAAAACCUCCACAACUUAGCUCCGAUACCAGUUUGUUGGGAUCUCGAAGUUCAAUCAACAAUAAACAUUAUUUAAUCAAAGAUUCUAAGGCAAAAAUGCAAGAAACAUAAACCGAAAAUACAACCCAUUAAUGGCCGAAAAUCUGGACAGCAACUUCUCUUGUUUAUGGUUGAUUUUCAGGCUCACGAACAGCUCCCAUGUCAUGCAAAUCACCUUCCAAAGAGAGAGCUAGAAAACCGGCAAAGAACAUCCUUUGAAACUGCCACCACCGCACCCCUCUCUUCUACCAAGUUUUGAGAAAUAUCACCUAUACUUAGCCACUAUUUCAGGCCUAAGUUAUCACAAUGGACACUCAAGAAGAAGCUCACAAGAAGGCACUCUCAAGAACACUCGCAGUAAGGUGCAAAUGGAGAGAAGUCUUGAGGAGAAGAGAGAGGGCCGAAUUUU
This 5805-nucleotide long non-coding RNA is filed under the name Olea europaea (common olive). RNAcentral describes it as "long non-coding RNA (OEUR_LNC013727)". Lineage: Eukaryota; Viridiplantae; Streptophyta; Magnoliopsida; Lamiales; Oleaceae. The record is from RNAcentral.